Molecule: ribosomal RNA, 472 nt
Filed under: uncultured bacterium
Lineage: Bacteria
Description: bacterial SSU rRNA
Rfam family: Bacterial small subunit ribosomal RNA
Source: RNAcentral
UGGGGAAUUUUGGACAAUGGGCGCAAGCCUGAUCCAGCCAUGCCGCGUGCGGGAAGAAGGCCUUCGGGUUGUAAACCGCUUUUGUCAGGGAAGAAACGCUCUGGGCUAAUACCCUGGGGUAAUGACGGUACCUGAAGAAUAAGCACCGGCUAACUACGUGCCAGCAGCCGCGGUAAUACGUAGGGUGCAAGCGUUAAUCGGAAUUACUGGGCGUAAAGCGUGCGCAGGCGGUUAUGCAAGACAGAUGUGAAAUCCCCGGGCUCAACCUGGGAACUGCACUUGUGACUGCAUAGCUGGAGUACGGCAGAGGGGGAUGGAAUUCCGCGUGUAGCAGUGAAAUGCGUAGAUAUGCGGAGGAACACCGAUGGCGAAGGCAGUCCCCUGGGCCUGUACUGACGCUCAUGCACGAAAGCGUGGGGAGCAAACAGGAUUAGAUACCCCCGUAGUCCCUGAGCGGGCUGGCAAGGCGCAU